AGUGAACGCUGGCGGUAGGCCUAACACAUGCAAGUCGAACGGCAGCACAGUAAGAGCUUGCUCUUACGGGUGGCGAGUGGCGGACGGGUGAGGAAUACAUCGGAAUCUACUUUUUCGUGGGGGAUAACGUAGGGAAACUUACGCUAAUACCGCAUACGACCUACGGGUGAAAGCAGGGGAUCUUCGGACCUUGCGCGAUUGAAUGAGCCGAUGUCGGAUUAGCUAGUUGGCGGGGUAAAGGCCCACCAAGGCGACGAUCCGUAGCUGGUCUGAGAGGAUGAUCAGCCACACUGGAACUGAGACACGGUCCAGACUCCUACGGGGGGCACCAGUGGGGAAUAUUGGACAAUGGGCGCAAGCCUGAUCCAGCCAUACCGCGUGGGUGAAGAAGGCCUUCGGGUUGUAAAGCCCUUUUGUUGGGAAAGAAAAGCAGCAGGUUAAUACCCCGCUGUUCUGACGGUACCCAAAGAAUAAGCACCGGCUAACUUCGUG
RNAcentral lists this ribosomal RNA (492 nucleotides) under uncultured bacterium. RNAcentral's name for it is "partial 16S ribosomal RNA". It matches the Rfam family "Bacterial small subunit ribosomal RNA", at positions 29 to 507 of the family's 1533-position model. The record is from RNAcentral.